RNAcentral lists this ribosomal RNA (83 nucleotides) under Escherichia coli. Its description in RNAcentral is "partial 16S ribosomal RNA". It matches the Rfam family "Bacterial small subunit ribosomal RNA", at positions 1 to 81 of the family's 1533-position model. RNAcentral also lists the same sequence under 2 other names. Lineage: Bacteria; Pseudomonadati; Pseudomonadota; Gammaproteobacteria; Enterobacterales; Enterobacteriaceae. The record is from RNAcentral.
UUAAAUUGAAGAGUUUGAUCAUGGCUCAGAUUGAACGCUGGCGGCAGGCCUAACACAUGCAAGUCGAACGGUAACAGGAAGAA